UAGUGCCACCUGCUUCGCUUUGGAAAAACGUGGCUCUCCUCAUGACCUAUUCCAGUUCCAGUCCCGUAACCAACAAGAGGUGUCUGAUUAAGACAGAAAACCCACCACUACCAUUACCUGAAUCUGUUUUGGGUGAGAAGGUAAACCCGUUAUCCCAGCAUGCCGCUUGAGCGACAUCACCUUUGGAGACAGCUACCUUCCUCUACAAACUCAGCCCCCUCUGAAAGCCUCUGCAGCAACUUCCUGGGACAAUCGUAGGGAUCACGAGACUGUUUGAGUCAAUUCCUAAAGCCCAACCAAAGAGAACCACAAAGGUGGAUGGAAAGUGGAGGAGCUACAUGGCUCACAGUGAACCCUGGAAUCCCAAGCUUACAGCAGCCUCGAAAGUGGAGGGCCUCAAAGCUACACUGCCAGCAGGGCCGUACUCAUGUUCAAGACUAAAAGUCAGCAGCUGAAGGUGGGACACACAUUAAUGGCUUGGCAAAUGAGACCUGCACUGAUGAUUAUCUUUGUUCUUUCUGAGUAUAUUUACAGAGUCUAUUUUCAAAGAGCCAGGCUAUACAGAAUUCUUACGUUUUUCCACAUGUUACAUGAAAGAUCCCAUGAAGAAGAACCACACGUUUUCCUCAGAUCCAAUGAAAUUGGGCAGAAGUGGAAAUGAGAAAAAUGAAAGAGGCGGCUAGUCAGUCUAUAGCUAUCCGGAUAUCGUGUAUGUGUGAGGGGGAGGAUGGCGGGUCCUUAAGACAGGUCAAACCCAAGGGGUGCAGAGCCUCAAACCAAGAUUUCCACCUCCCCAUCCGCUGCCACACAUACAUAUCUAUUUUUAUGAAUAAAACCCAACUGAAAAUAAUCUCAAGGGGAGACCAAGAUGGAAAAGAGGAAAAAAAAUGCUAAAAUGAAAGACCGAAGAGUGUGUAUGUGUGUAAGGAUAGAGUAGACCUAUUGACUGAGCCUUGUUGAAGGGGUUACGGAUUCCUUGUGAGCAUAAAAUCAGAGCCAUUACAACUCAGCUUUCUCCUCCAGCCCCAUAUUCCUAAGUUAUCCUCCUGCCAAGAGGGAUAUGAAAGGGACCAGUCCCACUACACAUCCUCUACUGCCUCUUCUAGGAACCAUUAAGGUUCUGGAUAGAAGAUUCU
This is a long non-coding RNA of Pteropus alecto (black flying fox), 1136 nucleotides long. RefSeq lists it as uncharacterized. The record is from RefSeq and is a predicted model, not a curated record. The transcript has 3 exons. Lineage: Eukaryota; Metazoa; Chordata; Mammalia; Chiroptera; Pteropodidae.